AUGCACCGCAGAAGGGAAACCCCAAACCGAGGCAAAUCGGAGGUGCCGGCUGGGAAGGUUAAAGCAAGGCAACGUUCACUGGGCGCAGGGGCACGGCUCGGGGAUCCUCCCGGCAGCACCGCCGGCAGAUGGAAGGAGAAAUCCCCCGGCACGCGGCGGCAGCGCCAUCGGGCUGCGCGGCCAGGUGCUAAAAACCCGCUUUUCCCACCCAAAACCCGCGUGCGGGCGCCGAUCCCCGUCCCUCACCCCAAAACUCGGCUCCCGCCCCGCACGGUGAGCGAAGUUCCCCCCGGAUCGGGGAAAAAAAAACCAAAAAAAACCACAAAGAAAAACCCGGCGGAGAAGCACGGCACGGGCCGUGGGGGCUGCGUCCCGCCCCGCUUUUGGGGGCCAAAACCAUGGGCUGAAUGUCUGCGUCAGAGGGGCAGCAAGUGGCAGAAGAUUCCCUUGUUCAGCCUGCCCACGCAGCACACAUCCACUGCUGGUUUGCUGCAAAACCACCUCCUUGAUGUGAAACCACACCGUGCAACAAGACACUUGUUAGCUCAGUCCAGGCUCUUCCUUCCCCUCCAUGCCUUUUGCCCUGCUACUAGCUGGAGAGAGGAAAAAAAAAGAAGGAAAAAAAAAAAAAAGGACUAUUUUUUAACAAAUUAUAAAGGUAACCUCUAAGAAGGAAAGCUUUAAGCUUCCAAAUCUGCUUCCUCGUCUGGAAAAUGGGGUUCAUUUUCCUCACAGGUGUUUUGCACCUCAGCAAGGUUUUCCCCAGCAGGUGCUAUGGAAGGUAAACCAUGAUUUCUCAGGUCUAGCCUGCAACGGGAGCUGGAGAACUGCAACUGAGUGAUGGGUUCUGGCUUACGGUGGUUUUAAGCCUGAUGUCCCCAAGGCCUUAUCUGCCUGCAAGCUGCUUCAUUUCAGUCACUUAAUUCAGAUUAAGGAUGGCUUUUGCAAAACCACAAUGAUCCUAGUUGAAAUAAAUACUCAAAUUCUGCACUAGCGUAAUUCCA
Molecule: long non-coding RNA, 1004 nt
Filed under: Anser cygnoides (Swan goose)
Lineage: Eukaryota; Metazoa; Chordata; Aves; Anseriformes; Anatidae
Description: lncRNA (ENSACDG00005012451.1)
Source: RNAcentral